CGUGAUCAUAGCUCAGUGCAGCUUCGAACUGCUGGGGCAUACUCAUCUAAUAACGAGGACAGCAUCUGCAAUUUAGAGAUUCCUGUCCGCAACCUUCAUUGCUCCAACGACAACUUUUGGGUAAGAGUCAUUAGGAUGCCGUCUAUCAUGGAGGAAGCUGAGGCUCAGAGAGGGCCACCAAGUUGCUGGAAGACACAGCACGUGCGACCUCAGGGAGGCUGCAAGGAGAGAAAGCCCCAGUCCGCGAGACUCCCAGCCUCCAGCUUCAGUUUACCCUCCAAUCCCCAAGCCCUCAGGGGCAGGAGCCGAAUGGAGCGGCAGGCUUGGAUUCACCUGCUAAGUGGGGUGAGGUCAAGGGAAUGAAAUAAACCUCGGAGCCUAGAGCCUG
RNAcentral lists this long non-coding RNA (388 nucleotides) under Homo sapiens (human). Its description in RNAcentral is "HSALNT0395527". The record is from RNAcentral. Lineage: Eukaryota; Metazoa; Chordata; Mammalia; Primates; Hominidae.